AAAAUAAACCGCAGAGAAUAUAC
This 23-nucleotide small nuclear RNA is filed under the name Arabidopsis thaliana (thale cress). RNAcentral describes it as "snRNA_10448". The record is from RNAcentral. Lineage: Eukaryota; Viridiplantae; Streptophyta; Magnoliopsida; Brassicales; Brassicaceae.